Molecule: ribosomal RNA, 367 nt
Filed under: uncultured bacterium
Lineage: Bacteria
Description: partial 16S ribosomal RNA
Rfam family: Bacterial small subunit ribosomal RNA
Source: RNAcentral
CCUACGGGUGGCAGCAGUAGGGAAUCUUCCACAAUGGGCGAAAGCCUGAUGGAGCAACGCCGCGUGGGUGAAGAAGGUCUUCGGAUCGUAAAACCCUGUUUGUAGAGAAGUAAGCGCGUGAGAGUAACUCUUCACGUUUCUACGGUAUCUAACCAGAAAGCCACGGCUAACUACGUGCCAGCAGCCGCGGUAAUACGUAGGUGGCAAGCGUUAUCCGGAUUUGUUGGGCGUAAAGGGAACGCAGGCGGUCUUUUAAGUCUGAUGUGAAAGCCCUGGGCUUAACCGGAGUAGUGCAUUGGAUACUGGGGGACUAGAGAGCAGAAGCGGAAAGCGGAAUGCAAGGUGUAGCGGUGAAAUGCGUAGAUAU